UGUUAUCCAUACCUGAAUACAUCACCAAACAAUCCUGUCCAUCAAUCAUAAAGACAUAGAAUCAAAGCAGCCUUCGCUACAACUAACGUAGCUAAACUCAUCAAUGGUCACUUAUAUCAGUAUAAUCGAACGAAAUAGAUCAAGCAUUGAUAUACAUAAUGGAAAUUACACGCUAUGUGAUCUAAGCAUGCUUAUUUUCA
RNAcentral lists this long non-coding RNA (200 nucleotides) under Carica papaya (papaya). RNAcentral's name for it is "long non-coding RNA (CPAP_LNC002106)". Lineage: Eukaryota; Viridiplantae; Streptophyta; Magnoliopsida; Brassicales; Caricaceae. The record is from RNAcentral.